This 121-nucleotide ribosomal RNA is filed under the name Cryomorphaceae bacterium. RNAcentral's name for it is "partial 16S ribosomal RNA". It matches the Rfam family "Bacterial small subunit ribosomal RNA", at positions 1 to 112 of the family's 1533-position model. The record is from RNAcentral. Lineage: Bacteria; Pseudomonadati; Bacteroidota; Flavobacteriia; Flavobacteriales; Cryomorphaceae.
UACUACAACGAAGAGUUUGAUCCUGGCUCAGGAUGAACGCUAGCGGCACGCUUCAUACAUGCAAGUCGAGGGGCAGCAUAAAGUACUUGUACUUUGAUGGCGACCGGCGAACGGGUGCGUA